CAGCCGCCGCGGGAAUACGAAGGGGGCUAGCGUUGUUCGGAUUUACUGGGCGUAAAGCGCACGUAGGCGGAUCGAUCAGUCAGGGGUGAAAUCCCAGAGCUCAACUCUGGAACUGCCUUUGAUACUGUCGAUCUGGAGUAUGGAAGAGGUGAGUGGAAUUCCGAGUGUAGAGGUGAAAUUCGUAGAUAUUCGGAGGAACACCAGUGGCGAAGGCGGCUCACUGGUCCAUUACUGACGCUGAGGUGCGAAAGCGUGGGGAGCAAACAGGAUUAGAUACCCCCGUAGUCCCUGUCUCUUAUAC
RNAcentral lists this ribosomal RNA (301 nucleotides) under uncultured bacterium. Its description in RNAcentral is "partial 16S ribosomal RNA". It matches the Rfam family "Bacterial small subunit ribosomal RNA", at positions 509 to 807 of the family's 1533-position model. The record is from RNAcentral.